RNAcentral lists this ribosomal RNA (424 nucleotides) under uncultured bacterium. Its description in RNAcentral is "bacterial SSU rRNA". It matches the Rfam family "Bacterial small subunit ribosomal RNA", at positions 355 to 796 of the family's 1533-position model. The record is from RNAcentral.
UGGGGAAUCUUGGACAAUGGGGGAAACCCUGAUCCAGCCAUGCCGCGUGAGUGAUGAAGGCCUUAGGGUUGUAAAGCUCUUUCGCCCACGACGAUGAUGACGGUAGUGGGAGAAGAAGCCCCGGCUAACUUCGUGCCAGCAGCCGCGGUAAUACGAAGGGGGCUAGCGUUGUUCGGAAUUACUGGGCGUAAAGCGCACGUAGGCGGCUUGGUAAGUUGGGGGUGAAAUCCCGGGGCUCAACCUCGGAAUUGCCUUCAAGACUGCUUGGCUUGAGUUCGGAAGAGGUGAGUGGAAUUCCCAGUGUAGAGGUGAAAUUCGUAGAGAUUGGGAAGAACACCAGUGGCGAAGGCGGCUCACUGGUCCGAUACUGACGCUGAGGUGCGAAAGCGUGGGGAGCAAACAGGAUUAGAUACCCGCGUAGUCC